Molecule: long non-coding RNA, 2986 nt
Organism: Phyllopteryx taeniolatus (common seadragon)
Lineage: Eukaryota; Metazoa; Chordata; Actinopteri; Syngnathiformes; Syngnathidae
Exons: 3
Source: RefSeq, a predicted model, not a curated record
UUCCUCCAAGCAUCUACGAUCUUCUCUGGACAUUCCCGGAACUCUUGAGGGGGUAGACUGUGCUAACGAAUGCUGAUUGGUUGACACAGACGUUUGUCAUUUGCGUCACAUCUUGUUUACUUUUCACAUUCCACAGAGCUGCUGCAGCUGCCAUUACUGGAUGUAGUGUUACAGUCUUUACAAGAUGUUAUUUUGAGAAUGGAAGGAAUGAGGAAGGAUAGGUGGAUAGAACCCCUGGCCUCGCACCGUUGUUCAGGCGGACGGCUCCUCCAGCUCGUGGUGUCGGCUCCGCCGCCGAGGAAGGCACGCAUGCCCGCUUGGGCUCGCACUUCCCUUGCUGGCUGGCCUGCUCCUAAGCUAGAUCGAGACAGCCCUGCCGACUCAGCCGUCCUCUUGUGGACCCCGCCACCUCACCUGCUGCGACACCUCGCACAGCUUCGGCUACUAGCCGCUAGUAGCCGGACAAUUCGCAGUGUAGCUGUCCAGUUCGCCAUUGCCUCGAUCUGUGCACUGCGUGUCGCAUAACACUUCAGGGAAGAUGCAUUUUUCGGGGUGUUGGCAUAGCCUGAUGGCUAACUGCAUGCUGUAUAUUGGUAUAAAUGGUCCAAGUUAUUAAUAUGAAGGAACUGGCAAUUGCGUCAAAUAGUAACUAUUGGAAUGAUGCUCAGUACUUAUUCAGUGGGAGACUAAUGCCAGAUAGACCAAAUUCGUACUUGGACUUGUUUUUAAUACUGCCCAAAAAUGUGGACAACUGAUAUGGUGAAAAAACACUUCCACGCUAUAUCUCAAAAAUUCAAUACUAAAUUGUUUUGUCUUUGCAUGUUUUCAGCACUUAUCUUCAAACAUAUUUAAGGUAUUUCGAAGAAAAAAAAAAAAAACAGCAGCAGCUAAAGAUUUGGCGGACAUAUCCCGAAGUCGCAACAGGCUACAAGGUGAGUCCUCAAGUUAACGUGCAGAUUGCAGCACCUCUGGAAGUUAGUGGAUAGAACAUAAACUAAAGGACAAUCAUUAUAAAUGACAAACUAAAUUAUUUCAGAGUUUGAAAAAGUGUAAAAAAAAUUAUAAAUAAAUACAUUGUAAGUUUGAAUUGUGUAUAGUGUGUUAUAGAGACUGUGAUUCAAAUUUAUUUGAUUAUUAUAAGAUAAACUCAGGCGUUAAAGGAUUAAGAGUGUUAGUCUGUCAUUUUGAGCAUUUACCACCAAUUACCACAGUUAUAUUCCUGUAGCUUGUCAUUAUUGAAGGUUCAAAAUGUUUGAAAAUCCAAAUAGUCAGUUUGAUGAUAAGGUUCCAGAGCAAGAAGAGGAUAUGAAUGAAGCAUCUGAAGAAAAAAAAAAAAAUCUGAAAAUCCUCUCAUGAAAGACAUUUAACGCCUAAAAUGCAGGAAUUGAAAGAGCAAGAGUUAAUUCAAAAUGGAGAAGAAGUUCAUGGCAACAUGAAAAGUGGAAAUACAAUGUAAGAGAUAGUCGCAGAAGGUUAAAGCAAAGGUGAAAUGUAUGACAUGAAGGAUGAAGUUGAGAAGCUCGAGUGCGAAAUAAACGAGAUAUAUGACCGUAUCCGACGCCAAACAACACCAAGUCAAGAAAUUCGGAGAAAAGUUGAUGCGUGUGCACCUGUGACAGCAGACUUACUGCAAGUGAUCUAACAAAGAAGAAGCUGAAUCUGAUACUGUAGCAGAAAGGUCAAGAUUGUGCAUGCAGCUCGAUAAUGAAUAUGCUAGAUCCAUAUAUGGAUCCACAGACUCCAAAAUCACUACACCCAGUUGUCAUCAUUCUGAACACCUCUCAGAGUCACUUAGCAUUUCAGCUAAGAGGGCAGAUACGGCUGCUCUGCUGGUGGCAAAGGCAGCUGAGAUUGACAUGGAAGCAGCUAUUGAAGUUCGUCAACAGUUGAAGAAACUUGAGAAUCAUAGAGACAUUCAAGUCAUUAAAGCAAAGUGUCUUUGAAGAAGAGGAAACAUCCAUCCAUCCAUUCAUUUUCUUUACCGCUUAUCCUCAAUAGGGUCGCGGGCUGCUGGACCCUAUUCCAGCUAUCUUCGGGCGGGAGGCGGGGUAGACCUUGAACCGGUCGUCAACCAAUCGCAGGGCACAUAAAAACAAAACCAUUCGCACUCACAUUCACAAAAGAACGGAAUGGGACAUGUAGUCCUGUAUGCAGUAAAGAGAAUAAUCCAAAUCCAUCGACUCCAACUCACUUCAUCCUACGUCGGGAACAGCAAAUUGUGCAAAAUUAGACACCCUUGGUGCAGACAUUACAGGAAUCGUUAGCUCUUACCAGUCUUCCAACUCCAGAACCUACUGUAUUCUGGGGUGAUCCUUUGAAAUUUACAGAAUGGAGCACAAGCUUCAAAGCACUUAUAGAGAGGUGAUGCUCAAAUCCUCCAGAUAGGCUGUUCUACUUACAAAAAUAUAUAGCAGGGGAGGCUAAAUCUUGGAUGAAGGAUGAAGUGGCCUAUCAACAAGCAUGGGAUCAUCUGCAUGCCAGGUAUGGUCAUUCCUUUUUAGUGCAAAGAGCUUUUAGAGAGAAACUCAAUGGAUGGCCAAAGAUUGGUGGGAAAGGCUAUGUCAAAUUGAGAGAAUACAGUGAUAUCCUCCAAACGUGUAGUAAUGCUAUGCCUCACAAGUUCUGAAUGACUGCGAAGAGAACCAGAAAAUGCUGGUUAAACUACCAGACUGGGUGCCAUCCAGGUGGAACCGUCACAUCACAGAGCAGCUGGAUCAAGCUCCACCUCGGCCACACACCUGUCAUCAAUCAGCCCUCAUCAUCACCUGCAUAAAGCCUGCCAGAUCCCAGAAACUCUCGCCGGUGUAUUAACGCUAUCUUGCGUGCUCCCUUCGUGUCCCUAGGCGAGUUGACUCCUUCCACCACGCCGCCAAGCUAUCCGCCUGGCCUCGCCACCGCCAGCCACACGUUUCCUGCCUCAACAACCUGGCGGCAUAUCUCAAGGACCAUCUCCAUACCCCUUUGUUCAAUAAACUUUUCAUCACAA